CGAGUGAGGGCCCUCUGGGUCCAACCUCCCACCCGUGUUUAUCGUACCUUGUUGCUUCGGUGGGCCCGCCUCACGGCCGCCGGGGGGCAUCUGCUCCCGGGCCCGCGCCCACCGAAGACACCUAGAACUCUGUCUGAAGAUUGAAGUCUGAGUGAAAUUAUAAAUUAUUUAAAACUUUCAACAACGGAUCUCUUGGUUCCGGCAUCGAUGAAGAACGCAGCGAAAUGCGAUACGUAAUGUGAAUUGCAGAAUUCAGUGAAUCAUCGAGUCUUUGAACGCACAUUGCGCCCUCUGGUAUUCCGGAGGGCAUGCCUGUCCGAGCGUCAUUGCUGCCCUCAAGCACGGCUUGUGUGUUGGGCCCCGUCCUCCGCUCCCGGGGGACGGGCCCGAAAGGCAGCGGCGGCACCGCGUCCGGUCCUCGAGCGUAUGGGGCUUUGUCACCCGCUCUGUAGGCCCGGCCGGCGCUUGCCGAUCAACCAAACUUUUUUCCAGGUUGACCUCGGAUCAGGUAGGGAUACCCGCUGAACUUAAGCAUAUCAAUAAGCGGAGGAAAAGAAACCAACAGGGAUUGCCCCAGUAACGGCGAGUGAAGCGGCAAGAGCUCAAAUUUGAAAGCUGGCUCCUUCGGGGUCCGCAUUGUAAUUUGCAGAGGAUGCUUCGGGAGCGGUCCCCAUCUAAGUGCC
RNAcentral lists this ribosomal RNA (683 nucleotides) under Penicillium spathulatum. RNAcentral describes it as "eukaryotic LSU rRNA". The stretch from base 173 to 326 matches the Rfam family "5.8S ribosomal RNA". Lineage: Eukaryota; Fungi; Ascomycota; Eurotiomycetes; Eurotiales; Aspergillaceae. The record is from RNAcentral.